UACGGAGGGGGCUAGCGUUGUUCGGAAUUACUGGGCGUAAAGCGCGCGUAGGCGGACCUGCAAGUCGGGGGUGAAAUCCUGGAGCUCAACUCCAGAACUGCCUUCGAUACUGGAAAGCUCGAGUCCGGGAGAGGUGAGUGGAACUGCGAGUGUAGAGGUGAAAUUCGUAGAUAUUCGCAAGAACACCAGUGGCGAAGGCGGCUCACUGGCCCGGUACUGACGCUGAGGUGCGAAAGCGUGGGGAGCAAACAGG
RNAcentral lists this ribosomal RNA (253 nucleotides) under uncultured bacterium. RNAcentral's name for it is "partial 16S ribosomal RNA". It matches the Rfam family "Bacterial small subunit ribosomal RNA", at positions 524 to 776 of the family's 1533-position model. The record is from RNAcentral.